RNAcentral lists this small RNA (1161 nucleotides) under Arabidopsis thaliana (thale cress). RNAcentral's name for it is "ATSL087750". Lineage: Eukaryota; Viridiplantae; Streptophyta; Magnoliopsida; Brassicales; Brassicaceae. The record is from RNAcentral.
CCGUUUAUGAGGUUCUUUCCUAGUCUAAUCCGUUUCAUAUGAUUCCGUGAUUCAAUAUAUGAGACGAAUAGAGUAAACAAACAAUCGGAUACUUUAUUGAUUAAGCAAAGGAUUCGAUACAACCUAUGAGUUUGCAUAUAAGCUAUUACAAGUCAUAUAAUCGAUCCCUAGACUAUCCGAACUAUCACCACCCAUCAUCCCGGCCUUGAGUCUCUCGCGCCUAAGCCAAGUCCUUCCCACGAUCACCAUUCGUUCCUGAAAGUCAUAGAGCCAUAAGUAAUCUCAUUUACUUAAUCAUAUGCAAGUCCAUGCAAUGCUCUAUAUGCCAUACACUACUCGGAUCCGUGGAGAGAAUUUAGAGAGGGGAAGAUCGCGCAUCAGUCCGGCCGAUUCUCGGCAGGUCAGUUAAGACCUGCCGGUCCUCCGCCGAGCCGCGUCCCCACCUCAGCCGAUCCCUACCCGGACCGAGUCUUGUGUAGGAUGCACAUGACCCGGAUACUACCCAGCCCUCUAGUCGAUCCUUUCAAGGAUCCGACUACUAACUCACAUCCUAGAACCCUUAGACUCAAAGUCUAGGAUCCCUUACCUUCCUUCUCGAGGUUAGGUCGAUCCGACCCUCCUUCUUUAUUGCCGGCCACAGCCCGGCUACCGAAUCCUAAGACUAUUUAUUCUCCCAAGAGGGAGAGAGUUUUAAUGGUGAGUUUCUUGUGUUUUGGGUGUGUUGUGGUGAGUGGAAUGGUCCUGGGCGCCCUUCCUUAUAUAGGGGGCGAAUGAAUGCUUCCCGAAUCAACACAUCCGUUCCUUGCACCUUUCCGAAGAGUUGCACCUUUCCGAAGAGUUGCGCCCUUCCGAAGAGUUGCACCUUUCCGAAGAGUUGUAUCUCUUCGCCCAUAACCGCCCAGCUAGUCCGUCACUUGUCCAGCUACCUCGAGCUCAACCGUCACUCGUCCAGCUACCUCGAGCUCAACCGUCACUCGUCCAGCUGCCCGAGCUGGACUGUCACUCGACCUGAGUAACCGUCACUCCUUCCAGCUGAGCUUGAGCUUUGGGCGAACUGACCCAGCUGAUUUCUUUACGAUCUUAGCUUAGCCUGCAUGAUUUCCCCUUUGUCCGAGCUUAUGGCCAGCUCCUUCUCACUUGUCCGAGACUCCACCUAUUUCU